Long non-coding RNA from Wyeomyia smithii (pitcher-plant mosquito), 529 nucleotides. RefSeq lists it as uncharacterized. The transcript is spliced from 3 exons. The record is from RefSeq and is a predicted model, not a curated record. Lineage: Eukaryota; Metazoa; Arthropoda; Insecta; Diptera; Culicidae.
UAGAAAGUUUGGCAGUUCACACUCGUUUAUGUUGACGUUGUGUUUGUGUUUGCUUUUAUCUUCAGUUGAAUGAAGUAUUUGUGUUCGCAGCUAGGUAUUUUACAUUUUUCUCCGUUCAAGGGAGUGAAAAUUCAAGCAGCAAAAGAAUAUGCUGAUGCUGACAAGAAAUCUGAUAGAUCAAACCUAAACUGUUAGCAAAGUCGUCAAUAAAGACACAGAGACUGUUAGUAACUCAUCCAAACCUACUGAUCAGAAUGUUUUUUCGUUGUCAGCAGAAUCUAUCAAGCGUCAGGUUAAUUCGAAAUGAACAUGGAUGUGUUGGAUGUGGCUUAAUAUAGGACUGGUUUUGAUGAUUUUUAUCUGCGAUGUACCACAACUGUUCAUGAUGGCCUCAUCGGGAACCUCUUGGAAUCAAGCUUCAAGUGUGGUAAUACCUUUUUUAAAACUUUUGUUUUAUUUCUUUUGAGUCCCCUGUUUUAUGUUGUAAAACAAAAACUAGAAAAGAGUAAAUAUAUUUUUUGAAAUUUCA